GCUUGUCUCAAAGAUUAAGCCAUGCAUGUCUCAGCAUAAGCUUCAACACGGUGAAACUGCAAAUGGCUCAUUAAAGCAGUUACAAUUUAUUUGAUGGUCACUGUUACAUGGAUAACCGUGGUAAUUCUAGAGCUAAUACAUGCUGUUAAGCCUGACUUCUUGAAGGGCUGUAUUUAUUAGAUAACAGACCAAUAUUCCUCGUGUCUAUUGUGGUGACUCAUAGUAACUGAUCGGAUCGCACGGGCUUGCCCGCGACAAACCAUUCAAGUUUCUGCCCCAUCAGCUUUCGAUGGUAGUGUAUUGGACUACCAUGGCUUUUACGGGUAACGGAGGAUUAGGGUUCGAUUCCGGAGAGGGAGCCUGAGAAACGGCUACCACAUCUAAGGAAGGCAGCAGG
This 397-nucleotide ribosomal RNA is filed under the name Strombidinopsis sinicum. RNAcentral describes it as "partial small subunit ribosomal RNA". It matches the Rfam family "Eukaryotic small subunit ribosomal RNA", at positions 30 to 432 of the family's 1831-position model. The record is from RNAcentral. Lineage: Eukaryota; Ciliophora; Spirotrichea; Choreotrichida; Strombidinopsidae.